GUGACGCCGAAACUACGGAAGAUCCAUCUCUGUAUGAUCGGAGAGCAGCUGGGUCGGAAGGACAAACUAGCCAAUCGAAUUCUACUAAAGCACAAGGCAAAGCUUGCAUGAGCAGCGAGGAGUGCCAAAAAAAUCUGUGCUGCCUGCGACAGCAGUCAUCGAAUACAUGCCAGCCAUUGGCUAAAUUUUUGCAAAAGUGUUCGGUAGAACAGGUCAGAGGUGCCAUUUACUCGGAGCACUGCCCCUGCAAGCCCGGGCAAGCCACGGCGAGUCAAACCUUAGGCAGUGUAUCUCCGAAAGACUUAUGCUUGUUGGACCAAAGAGUGCCCGGAUGGGGAGGAAACAACAAAGCAAAGAUGUUCACUAGGAGGAAAGGCCAGGCCUGUAAGAACACUGAGGAGUGUCAAAUGCAUUUGUGUUGCCUAGUACGCCAAUCGGUGGGUACUUGCCAGCCGCUGGCUAUGUGCGGACAAAAGUGCUCGGAAGAUCAGCUCAGGGGUGGCUGCUAUUAUAUGUACUGCCCCUGCAAAGCCGGAAUAGGGGCUUGUGAGAACGGUACAUGCUUGCGAUGACUUUUCAAAUAUAUGGUCCUUAGGCUGUUCUGUGUUGCGCAGACGAAGAGCAUAAUAGGCAAAUGAGAACAGGGAGACAGCCCCACGCUGAGCACACAAAACAAUUUGUAUCCAGAGAACCACAUGGAAAUAUAUGUCCAGGCAUUGGAUUCCGUCUUUUAU
Molecule: long non-coding RNA, 734 nt
Organism: Dermacentor albipictus
Lineage: Eukaryota; Metazoa; Arthropoda; Arachnida; Ixodida; Ixodidae
Source: RefSeq, a predicted model, not a curated record